CAAACACAUCAGGGCAGAUCCCCUUCCUCUUCCCCACGCACGAGCGGGCACACCGCCACCGCCGACGCCUUCCUCGCGGAGUUUGCGGCCGAAGGAUCGGUUGGGGCGCACCGGGUCGGCCUUCGGUGGGGCGCAGUGCGAGCUCUCGGCUUGGGGCAGGAGGCGGCUCGAUGAAGAGGAGCUGGGGCGCGGCGCUCCUCUCCUGGUGUGGCGCACGAGGGAAGGAGGAGGGGAUUGAUCCAAGACGGGAGCUGAGGCUGGCGGCGCCCUUCACACAAGCCUCACCGGCGGUGCCUUCUACACAAGCCUCACCGGCGGUGCGGCGGGAGAGCUCCGACCCGUCCAUAGGUGCAGGGAUACAGAUCCGCGUCGCCAGCCUGUACUAGGCCGAGGUUGAUGCGCCGGCGCAGGGGUCGCCGUCCAUCUUCGCCAGGCCUCCAGAGUACUCCAGCAACAGCCACUGGACGGCAGAUAUUUUGCCGGAUGACCCACUGUAUGAGCAUGCCACAUCCUUUCUUGCUCACCCAGCACACGGCAUUCCUUACAGUAGAGGUACCACACGGGGUGGUGACUGGGAGGCUGGGACAUGCUGGCACGGCCAAACAGCUGGUUUACUGCAAUCAGGGUGCUAGAGGCUCUUGGGGUUGCAGCCCGCUCGCCUGCUGGAGGUACAAUGUUGAUUAUUUAGAGACCUCAUCUUCAUGAGACUAGCAAGGGAUGGACAUUCUGAAGAAGAAGAGAUGAGGUCCCUGCACUUCCGUUGACGAGUAUUUUGUCAGCAUCUCGAUGCGGAGGACAUUUAUUUGAAAUACUAAAUUGUGGUGUCGCUACCUCUAAGGACCACAGCGUUGUAGCGCCCUUGGCUCAAGGUGACCAUCUUCAGCGCAUCGUGGUGUCGCUGCCCACACGAUCUCUACAGACACCACAAAAGGCUACAGGACCGAGGAGGCCGGUGGCCUGACCACUGAAUCACGUUGUCGUGCGGGCGCCUUGAUCUCGCAUGCGCUGCACAGGUUAGAUUGACAUUUUGCCCUGUGUUUAAUUACUACAUGCACUGCACACUGAUCCAUGUAUAUAUUGGCUCCCCUAUAUAUACCUCUGUUGGUGAAAAGUUUUGACUUUCGAGUUUUGUCAGACGUGAGUUGCAACAAUUUUCAGUUACUUUUCUAUGCCUGCCAUUCAUCUCUGAACCGUUGUGAUGGAGAUUGUAAUACUGUGUUUAGAAUAUGUCAGUCCAUAUGCAAGAUCUUCUUUUCAACUUGGCAACCAUGAUUAUACAUUAGUCAUCUAUACUUUACAAGCAUAUGAGAUAUGUGUAAUUUUUUUUGCGGGAAGAUAUGUGUAAUUAAUGUGUUCGUCGGAGCCGAACCUGCAAUCGCUUGUCGCCCUUGCCUUUAGCAAUUCAGCUAGGUUAGGGGAUGGGGAUUCAUUUGGAAUCGAAUGAGGGAGUGGCACGGACACAAGGUUAUCGGGCUGGCGGCUGCUCAUGCGCCUAACCAAACACCCAUUCGGUUUGGUGUGUGGCCACUGUUGCCUACCGUGGGUGCAGUUUGGGUUGGACUUAGUAUCGUGGGCUAAGCCCAAAAAAUAGUGCAAAAUACGUUACAAAUGAAAUAUAAUAUUUAAAAAAAAUCAUCGCCAUAAAAAUGAUACCAUUUAAAAAAUAUUCUUCAAAAUUUUAAAAACACUUUCUCAAAGUAAAAAGUCCGUGUUUUUCUGAAGAAAAAAAGUUGAUUGAUUUUUUUUUUGGAUAAAAU
Triticum aestivum (bread wheat) is the source of this 1757-nucleotide RNA transcript. RefSeq lists it as uncharacterized. The record is from RefSeq and is a predicted model, not a curated record. Lineage: Eukaryota; Viridiplantae; Streptophyta; Magnoliopsida; Poales; Poaceae. The transcript has 7 exons.